AAUUUUCUGCAAUGGGCGAAAGCCUGACAGAGCAAUACCGCGUGAGGGAAUAAGAAGGCCCAUCGGGUUGUAAACCUCUUUUGUCAAGGAAGAAGAUCUGACAUUACUUGACGAAUAAGCAUCGGCUAACUCCGUGCCAGCAGCCGCGGUAAGACGGGGGAUGCAAGUGUUAUCCGGAAUUACUGGGCGUAAAGCGUUUGUAGGUGGUUUAGUAAGUCUAUUAUUAAAUCUUGAAGCUUAACUUCAAAACUGUAAUAGAAACUAUUAAACUAGAGAAUCGGAGGGGUAAAGGGAAUUUCCAGUGGAGCGGUGAAAUGCGUAGAGAUUGGAAGGACCACCGAAGGCGAAGGCACUUUACUGGGCUAUUUCUGACACUUAGAGACGAAAGCUAGGGGAGCAAAUGGGAUUAGAUACCCCAGUAGUCCUAGCUGUA
RNAcentral lists this ribosomal RNA (433 nucleotides) under uncultured marine bacterium. Its description in RNAcentral is "bacterial SSU rRNA". It matches the Rfam family "Bacterial small subunit ribosomal RNA", at positions 360 to 804 of the family's 1533-position model. The record is from RNAcentral.